This 66-nucleotide transfer RNA is filed under the name Neonemura barrosi. Its description in RNAcentral is "tRNA-Leu". It matches the Rfam family "tRNA". Rfam says of the family: Transfer RNA (tRNA) molecules are approximately 80 nucleotides in length. Their secondary structure includes four short double-helical elements and three loops (D, anti-codon, and T loops). Lineage: Eukaryota; Metazoa; Arthropoda; Insecta; Plecoptera; Notonemouridae. The record is from RNAcentral.
UCUAUUUUGGCAGAUAAGUGCAAUGGAUUUAGAAUCCAUUUAUGUAAAUAAAUUUUACAGAUAGAA